AGUGAACGCUGGCGGUAGGCCUAACACAUGCAAGUCGAACGGCACCACAGUAAGAGCUUGCUCUUACGGGUGCCGAGUGGCGGACGGGUGAGGAAUACACCGGACUCUACUUUUUCGUGGGGGCUAACGAAGGGAAACUUACGCUAAUACCGCAUACGACCUCCGGGUGAAAGCAGGGGAUCUUCGGCCCUUGCGGGUAGGGAUGGGCCCGUGGCGGCUUAGCUUGUUGGCGGGGUAAAGGCCCACCAAGGCGACGAUCCGUAGCCGGAGUGAGAGGGCGACCGGCGACACGGGGACUGAGACACGGCACGGAGUCAUACGGGAGGCAGCAGUGGGGAAUAUUGCGCAAUGGGCGAAAGCAUGACGCAGCGACGCCGCGUGAGGGAUGACGGCCUUCGGGUUGUAAACCUCUUUCAGCAGGGACGAAUUCAGACGGUACCUGCAGAAGAAGCACCGGCCAACUACGUG
RNAcentral lists this ribosomal RNA (468 nucleotides) under uncultured bacterium. Its description in RNAcentral is "partial 16S ribosomal RNA". It matches the Rfam family "Bacterial small subunit ribosomal RNA", at positions 30 to 507 of the family's 1533-position model. The record is from RNAcentral.